This is a non-coding RNA of Janibacter hoylei PVAS-1, 103 nucleotides long. Lineage: Bacteria; Bacillati; Actinomycetota; Actinomycetes; Micrococcales; Intrasporangiaceae. The record is from Rfam.
GGGGCACGACAGGGGAGCGCAACAGCGCUGAGAGUGCGGGCGACCGCAGACCCUCGUACCUGAUCCGGUUCGCACCGGCGUAGGGAGUCGAGUCUCACGGACC